Molecule: ribosomal RNA, 253 nt
Filed under: uncultured bacterium
Lineage: Bacteria
Description: partial 16S ribosomal RNA
Rfam family: Bacterial small subunit ribosomal RNA
Source: RNAcentral
AACGUAGGAGACGAGCGUUAUCCGGAAUUACUGGGCGUAAAGCGCGUGUAGGCGGAAGUGUAAGUCUUUUGUGAAAGCUCCUGGCUAAACUGGGAGAGGUCGAAAGAUACUGCACAUCUGGAGUAUGGGAGAGGGGUGUGGAAUUCCGGGUGUAGUGGUGAAAUGCGUAGAUAUCCGGAGGAACACCAGUGGCGAAGGCGGCACCCUGGCCCAAGACUGACGCUAAGACGCGAAAGAAUGGGGAGCGAACGGG